UUGACCUCAAAUCAGGUAGGACUACCCGCUGAACUUAAGCAUAUCAAUAAGCGGAGGAAAAGAAACUAACAAGGAUUCCCCUAGUAACUGCGAGUGAAGCGGGAAAAGCUCAAAUUUAAAAUCUGGCGGUCUUGCGGCCGUCCGAGUUGUAAUCUGGAGAAGCGUUUAUCCGCGUCGGACCGUGUACAAGUCUUCUGGAAGGGAGCGUCGUAGAGGGUGAGAAUCCCGUCUUUGACACGGACAACCGGUGCUUUUGUGAUGCGCUCUCGAGAGUCGAGUUGUUUGGGAAUGCAGCUCAAAAUGGGUGGUAAAUUCCAUCUAAAGCUAAAUAUUGGCGAGAGA
Molecule: ribosomal RNA, 342 nt
Filed under: uncultured Piloderma
Lineage: Eukaryota; Fungi; Basidiomycota; Agaricomycetes; Atheliales; Atheliaceae
Description: eukaryotic LSU rRNA
Rfam family: Eukaryotic large subunit ribosomal RNA
Source: RNAcentral